AACGAACGCUGGCGGCAGGCUUAACACAUGCCAGUCGAACGCGUGCAGCAAUGCACGAGUGGCGCACGGGUGAGUAACGCGUGGAUAUCUGCCUUUUAGUUCGGAAUAACCCCGGGAAACUGGGGCUAAUACCGGAUGGUUCCUACGGGAUAAAGAUUUAUCGCCAAAAGAUGAGUCCGCGUCCGAUUAGCUAGUUGGUGAGGUAAUGGCUCACCAAGGCGACGAUCGGUAGCUGGUCUGAGAGGACGAUCAGCCACACUGGGACUGAGACACGGCCCAGACUCCUACGGGAGGCAGCAGUGGGGAAUAUUGGACAAUGGGGGCAACCCUGAUCCAGCCAUGCCGCGUGAGUGAUGAAGGCCUUCGGGUUGUAAAGCUCUUUUGGCGGGGACGAUGAUGACGGUACCCGCAGAAUAAGCCCCGGCUAACUUCGUG
Molecule: ribosomal RNA, 435 nt
Filed under: uncultured bacterium
Lineage: Bacteria
Description: partial 16S ribosomal RNA
Rfam family: Bacterial small subunit ribosomal RNA
Source: RNAcentral